GACGAACCGUGCGAACGUUAUUCGGAAUCACUGGGCUUAAAGCGCGUGUAGGCGGACGGGGACGUCGGUCGCUGAAAUCCCCCGGCUCAACCGGGGAACGGGCGCCGAAACGCCCCGUCUCGAGGGACGUAGGGGGACCUGGAACUUCCGGUGGAGCGGUGAAAUGCGUUGAGAUCGGAAGGAACGCCCGUGGCGAAAGCGAGGUCCUGGACGUCUACUGACGCUGAGACGCGAAAGCUAGGGGAGCGAACGGG
RNAcentral lists this ribosomal RNA (254 nucleotides) under uncultured bacterium. RNAcentral describes it as "partial 16S ribosomal RNA". It matches the Rfam family "Bacterial small subunit ribosomal RNA", at positions 524 to 776 of the family's 1533-position model. The record is from RNAcentral.